CGCUUCACUGCUCUCUCUGCUUGUUUUAAAUGACAGUUAACUUCAGUCUCUAGUGAUUCACUUACAGAAUGGCCUCCCACUGUCUGCUGAUGUGUGUUUUGCUGGUCUUUGCUCACUAUUCUAGUGGACAGAAUAUUCUGACUCAGACACCACAGGUUCAGACUUUCCUAGCAGGACAAAGUGUCUCAAUCAAGUGCAAAGCCCAAAGCUCUAUAAGCAACAACUACCUGCAUUGGUACCUGAUGAGACCUGAUGAAAGGCCUAAACUUCUGAUCUAUAAUGCAAACAGCCGUGUCUCUGGAAUCCCAGCACGUUUCACUGGAAGUGGAUCAGGGACCGACUUCACUUUGACCAUCAGUGAUAUCCAGACUGAGGAUGCAGGAGUCUAUUACUGUCACCAGCCUUGGAAUCCUGACACACAGUGAUCAACAGUCGAACAAAAACCUCUCUGAUUCAGAAGUGCAGGGCAUGACACAGGUGCAGAGAGAGGAACUGCAGAAAAAGAGACCGACAGAGAAGUGAGCUCCAGAGUUAAAAGUAGGCCAAGAACUGCAGUGAGAAGUCAAUCAGUGGAUAAUGUCUGUUAUUCUGGUUUGUAAUUUAGGAUGCACUGACUGCAUGUCUUUCAUUAGAAGUUAUGUCAGCCAUUCAAGUGGGUUAUGAUUAA
Molecule: non-coding RNA, 667 nt
Organism: Erpetoichthys calabaricus (reedfish)
Lineage: Eukaryota; Metazoa; Chordata; Cladistia; Polypteriformes; Polypteridae
Source: the annotation of a RefSeq genome assembly